RNAcentral lists this long non-coding RNA (238 nucleotides) under Elaeis guineensis (African oil palm). Its description in RNAcentral is "long non-coding RNA (EGUI_LNC027973)". The record is from RNAcentral. Lineage: Eukaryota; Viridiplantae; Streptophyta; Magnoliopsida; Arecales; Arecaceae.
UGUAUGUCACAAAAUUAAUACUAACACAUAAUAAUUUUAUCGCAAAUAACAAAAUAAGAUAACAAAAAUUAAGUAUAAGAUAUAGAAUCAAAAUUUAAGCGAUGCCCAAAAUUACCAUCUAUAAAGUAAAUAUUUAAUACUCAUAUCUUAGUUCAAUUUGCAUAAAAUCGACAAGAUUAACAAAUAUUCUUAUGAAAGAAUAGACUCCCACUCAAAAAAAAAAACUAUAUAUAGCACA